Schistosoma mansoni is the source of this 45-nucleotide non-coding RNA. The record is from Rfam. Lineage: Eukaryota; Metazoa; Platyhelminthes; Trematoda; Strigeidida; Schistosomatidae.
AUUCAGCUGACGAGUCCCGAAUAAGACGAAACGCGUGUCCUGGAU